AUAUUGAUUUGCACUUUACCCUUCCAUGCACACUAUUUGGUUGGAGAUCUGCAUUUGGGGAAAUGCGGGUUUUGAGAGAGAGCUGUCUUGGAAAGUGCAAUUUUUAAUCCUAAACAAAACAUUUUCUACUCCAUCCAGUUAAUGGGCAAUAAGUCCCAUUGGAUUCAGCAAGGCUUUCUUCUGCAGAGGUGUGCACAGUAUAAAGCAAUGUGCAUUGUAAACCAGUUUCGGUAUUUCAUUAACACACUUGAUUAACCAAAUUACACCCUACUUUUCCUCCCAAAGGAACAGGAUUGAAAAUUCACCAACCAUGCUCUCUGAAAUUUCUCACUGAAAUUUAGGAUCCAUCUCACAGCUGCCAUGCAUCUAUGUGGCUAGCUAUUUGGUUAUUUAUUUAGAGCAUCUGCAGCAUGCUCCUCAGCCCAAAAGGCUGCCAGAGUGGCUCCAUAUGAUCAAAUCAAGACAGUGCCUACACUGCCUUUUACAAUCUAAAAAAAUAAAUAAUCCAUGACCCACAAGGGGAAAGAGACAGGGAGGUAAGAUGAAAGUCAAAAGCCAAAUUCAGGCACCAGUUUUUAAGCCGUUUUCUCUCUAAGGAGCAGCUGGGCCUCCCGCAAAGAUGGCCAAAUGAGCCCUGCUCAUGAGGCAAUCAGAUGGAACAGCUGCCUCCAGGUGACCCUGUUUAUUUGCCCUGACUGGUGUCAUUAGGCUUGCGUCAACCUCCCUCAAUAAAGCUGGGAGCUAGGGAACGUGAUGGUUCUGAAGGUCUGAGAUUCUCUGCAUUUGGUAGUGUUUCCUAAUAUCCAGUAGCAUGUGGGAUAACCAGCCUCAUAUAUCCAACAUGCUUAAAUCUAAUUAAUGUAAGCAGUAAGCUUUCCUGCCAGGCUUACCUCACCUUGGGAGAAACUAUUUUGUUCCCCACCUGAAAAGCUCAGCAUGUAAAGAGGUCUAAGGUGGUUGCUCCAUGCUCGGACUGUAUGGCUUUUACAAUCCAUUAUUGUGUUUCUAUACCAAUAAUUUAGGAAUUUUCACGACUCUAACUAAGCCAAGCUUUACUGCCUAUGUUUUCUGACUGGUGUGUGGAAAAGCACAUGAAUCUGACGUUUGGAGAGUUUAUAACAAUUUUGAACUUACCAAACACAUGGUCUUUUUCUAUGCUGUAAGAAGAGGGGAACUUUGGAAGGAACUUAGAAGGGCAUAGUUUCAAGAUCUAAUAGCCUGUAUUCCCACACUUCGUUGCAUAAUUUGUAUUUUUAAAUCUCAACACUGCAAGGGCUCUUAUAACAUAAAGGGAAAACUUGAGACCACUUGUCCCUCAAUCAGAGGAGCAAAGUAAGGAUGAGGCAUGUUGAAAACAAAACUGGGAUCUUUUUUUUUCCCACAAGUAAAUUUUAUUGUUUUCCUUACAUAUUCUUUUCCCACAAAUUGUAUCAACACCAUACAUUCCCUUUGACUCUGCCGAGUCGCGACCCCCGUCCCUCCCCACAACCGGUAUAUUUAACCCCUUUCCAUCGCGCACAUCAUUCUCAUAUUAGUACUAUUAUACAUUGGAGGUAUUAUGUCAAUCCUGCUAGUGUUUUGACCUCUUUACAGUUCUUCUUUAAAUAUUCAAUAAAUUUACUCCAGUUAUUUUGGUAUCUUUGAUCUUCCUGGUCCCGGAUCCUCCCUGACAGUUUGGCAAGCUCUGCAUAUUCUGUCACCUUCACCUGCCACUCCUGGAUAGUUGGUAUAUCUUGUACUUUCCAUCUUUGGGUCAGAAGGGUUCUCGCGGCAGCUGUAGCAUACAUGAACAAAUUUUGAUCUCCCAUUUUAAUUUCUGUUCCUAUUAAACCUAAUAGACACACUUCUGGUCUUUUAGGGAAAGUACCGUAUUUUUUGCACCAUAACACUCACUUUUUUCCUCCUAAAAAGUAAGGGGAAAUGUCUGUGCGUGUUAUGGAGGGAAUGCCUACGGGUGGCAGGCCUACGGAUUUUCCUUCUCUAAAAACUACGUGCGUGUUAUGGUCGGGUGCGUGUUAUAGAGCGGAAAAUCCAGUAUAUCUAAAUAUUUUUUUGAGUUCGUUAGAAAUUGAUUCCCAAAAAUUUUUUACCUUAUCGCAGGUCCACCACAUAUGGAAAUAGUCCCCAUCUGCCUUUUUACAUUUCCAACACUUUCUUUCUUUUCUUCUAUACAUUUUAACUAAUUUUACUGGCGUCAAAUGCCAUCUAUACAUCAUUUUAAGCAAGUUUUCCUUUAAAGCCAUGCAUCCUGUGAAUCUCGAACC
RNAcentral lists this long non-coding RNA (2264 nucleotides) under Podarcis lilfordi (Lilford's wall lizard). Lineage: Eukaryota; Metazoa; Chordata; Lepidosauria; Squamata; Lacertidae. The record is from RNAcentral.